AGAAGAACCAGACGCCGGAGGAGCCGGUCGCCGCCACCCGCCGCCGCACCGGAGAAUUUUCCGACCACCAAUCGAGGUAAAUUUUCUCCUCCUGGCUUGUUUUUCAAUGCUGAAUCCACCUAUGGCCAAACUGGAGCCAAACCACCAGCCAAUUGGCCGAAAAAUCCCGCCGAAAUUCGGCGCCGCUGCCGCGGCUUCCCUCUGUUUUUGCCUCCGAUGAGGCCCUUUCCGGUCUCCGUUCGAUGCAAUUUUUAUACCACCGUGAUCACUGUUCUUUUCUCUACAGGUUGACCGGAGCAAAACAUUAAAACGUGACUCACGCCGGAGAAGUCGCCGCACCCGAGAGCACUGCCGCUGGUAAGUCUCGAUUUUUCGUGAUUUUUUGGCCCACCGAGAGCCCUAGGGUUGUUUUAUCGCAUGGACCAAUGCAAGUUUGGCCGAAUUCGGCCGAAAACGACCAACCCAAGGCAGA
RNAcentral lists this long non-coding RNA (472 nucleotides) under Carica papaya (papaya). RNAcentral describes it as "long non-coding RNA (CPAP_LNC003190)". Lineage: Eukaryota; Viridiplantae; Streptophyta; Magnoliopsida; Brassicales; Caricaceae. The record is from RNAcentral.